CCACACUGGGACUGAGACACGGCCCCAGACUCCUACGGGAGGCAGCAGUGGGGAAUAUUGCACAAUGGGCGCAAGCCUGAUGCAGCGACGCCGCGUGAGGGAUGACGGCCUUCGGGUUGUAAACCUCUUUCAGUAGGGAAGAAGCCGUGAGGUGACGGUACCUGCAGAAGAAGCGCCGGCUAACUACGUGCCAGCAGCCGCGGUAAUACGUAGGGCGCAAGCGUUAUCCGGAAUUAUUGGGCGUAAAGAGCUCGUAGGCGGUUUGUCGCGUCUGCUGUGAAAGACCGGGGCUCAACUCCGGUUCUGCAGUGGGUACGGGCAGACUAGAGUGCAGUAGGGGAGACUGGAAUUCCUGGUGUAGCGGUGAAAUGCGCAGAUAUCAGGAGGAACACCGAUGGCGAAGGCAGGUCUCUGGGCUGUAACUGACGCUGAGGAGCGAAAGCAUGGGGAGCGAACAGGAUUAGAUACCCUGGUAGUCCAUGCCGUAAACGUUGGGCACUAGGUGUGGGGGACAUUCCACGUUUUCCGCGCCGUAGCUAACGCAUUAAGUGCCCCGCCUGGGGAGUACGGCCGCAAGGCUAAAACUCAAAGGAAUUGACGGGGGCCCGCACAAGCGGCGGAGCAUGCGGAUUAAUUCGAUGCAACGCGAAGAACCUUACCAAGGCUUGACAUGAACCGGUAAUGCCUGGAGACAGGUGCCCCGCUUGCGGUCGGUUUACAGGU
This 723-nucleotide ribosomal RNA is filed under the name Arthrobacter sp. RNAcentral's name for it is "bacterial SSU rRNA". It matches the Rfam family "Bacterial small subunit ribosomal RNA", at positions 308 to 1039 of the family's 1533-position model. Lineage: Bacteria; Bacillati; Actinomycetota; Actinomycetes; Micrococcales; Micrococcaceae. The record is from RNAcentral.